UUUCUCUGAUGGUUAGUAAAGGACUUGAAUUAUUUUAAUGUCUUUUCCUUGAUAACUUUGUACUUUCUCUCUACUUGUUCUAUGUAAAUGUAUACUGCAUCGUUAUCCAAGAGGAGACUCUGCUGAGGCACCGCCCCCUGGAUGUAGUAUAUUCUAGAAUAUAAGUACUGUCAGCUCAUUUCCUGCCGCCCAAAAACAUACACAUUUACACAAACAAAUUACUAAAUGAUCCAUCCAGUGCCACCCAAAAAAGAAAAAGAAGUGCAUCCAAAGUGCUUGGAUGUCUAUAUGUCUAUGUAAGGACGUGUAUUUGAAUGGCCCUUGCUUCCUUUUAUUUGUAUUGUUUUGAAGUCUUCCGUUUCUAAUGCAUCAUGAUAUUUGUUAUUGGAGCUCGUCUAUGAUUGUGUCGGGCAAACCCAUUUCCUUGUCAGUGUGUUUUCACAGUGAAAGAAAAACUGACAUACUUGUUAUGCAGAUGGGAUGCGUUGAUGUUUAUAAUCCACAGAAUGUUAGGAAAGACUCAGUCUUUGCUUGAACAGAUUUGUAUGACAAGCAAAGUUCACUUCGGUAACAGAUAGCUAAAAGGACAAAGACUUGCCUAGUACUCCAUUGGAUAAUUUGUGGCGAGGAAGCUCUGAAAAUUUCACCCAUAGAGCUGUGCUGUUUGCACCGUCCUAUCUGAAGUGGUCAUUUUAACAUUGGGCCAUGCUAUUUCCGCCCUGGUUUUUGCUUUAAAACUCCUUUUUACAGUGUUUUCCUAUAUGGCCCCUGUUGUCCCUCUUUUGGUUUGACUGCUUCCUUUUCUUUCCUUGCUGGUCCCACCUUCUUCUUUCUUCUUCUCUUUGUUCUCUCUCUUUUCAACUCAUGGUGAUGUUGAUCUAAAGGAACCUAUGCCCGACUGCAGAUGCCGGCUUCACUACAUUAUAUUCCUUCUUUCAAAAGUAUCCAAUGCUCUGUAAUUGAUAUCCUGUUAAUGUGGUGCUUACUGACUGUAAUGCUUAGAUAUGCACCCUGCAGAUGCAAUUUUCUUACCAAAGAAACUUGUGCAAGUCCCUCAACCUGCUUGCCAGCGAGAUCCCACGGACUUUGUCAGGAGGAUCCCAAAUUCUCCUUCAAAGAGUUUGCCGGCAAGCUGGAGUCUGUCGUGCUGAUGAACCAGGAUGAGAAGUCGUUCAACGGGAGCCGAACCUCUUUUUCAGGAAUUUUAAAUGUGUGCAUUUUGAACAGAUGUUGUAAGAAACCUCAAAAUGAAAGAAACAGAUGAUUGGAUUUUCAACAAAAUCUAGUCUUGGAUUAUGCACAGA
Long non-coding RNA from Eucalyptus grandis, 1304 nucleotides. RefSeq lists it as uncharacterized. NCBI's taxonomy places the organism in Eukaryota, Viridiplantae, Streptophyta, Magnoliopsida, Myrtales, Myrtaceae. The transcript has 2 exons. The record is from RefSeq and is a predicted model, not a curated record.